Molecule: unclassified non-coding RNA, 253 nt
Filed under: uncultured Parcubacteria group bacterium
Lineage: Bacteria
Description: contains 16S-23S intergenic spacer region
Rfam family: Bacterial small subunit ribosomal RNA
Source: RNAcentral
UACGAGUGCCCCAAGCGUUACCCGGAUUUACUGGGCGUAAAGGAUGUGUAGGCGGUGCUGUUAGUCCUUUGUUAAAUCUGUGGGCUCAACCUACAGGCCGCAGGGGAAACGGCAGCACUAGAGGAUGUGAGAGGUGUACGGAACUCAUGGUGUAGGGGUGAAAUCCGUUGAUAUCAUGGGGAACACCGAAUGCGAAGGCAGUACACUGGCACAUUCCUGACGCUGAGACAUGAAAGCUAGGGUAGCGAACGGG